CGCUCUGAAUGGACCGGUGGCGGGCCGGUGGCGGUCGUGUCGCCACCGACGUGUGCCCCCGGACGGGGGUCGACCUCCCGUCGGGGUGA
This 89-nucleotide transfer RNA is filed under the name freshwater metagenome. Its description in RNAcentral is "tRNA-Thr". The record is from RNAcentral.